GAUUAACGCUAGCGGCAGGCCUAAUACAUGCAAGUCGAACGGGAUUUCGGAUAGCAAUAUCUGGAUGAGAGUGGCGCACGGGUGCGUAACACGUAUGCAACCUACCUCUGACUGGGGGAUAGCCUUCCGAAAGGAAGAUUAAUACCGCAUAACGAUCAGGAGAAGCAUUUCUUCAGGUCCAAAACUCAGGUGGUCAGAGAUGGGCAUGCGUCCGAUUAGCUAGUUGGUGAGGUAACGGCUCACCAAGGCUUCGAUCGGUAGGGGGUCUGGAGAGGAUGAUCCCCCACACUGGUACUGAGACACGGACCAGACUCCUACGGGAGGCAGCAGUAAGGAAU
Molecule: ribosomal RNA, 338 nt
Filed under: uncultured bacterium
Lineage: Bacteria
Description: bacterial SSU rRNA
Rfam family: Bacterial small subunit ribosomal RNA
Source: RNAcentral